RNAcentral lists this transfer RNA (73 nucleotides) under Neotoma lepida (desert woodrat). It matches the Rfam family "tRNA". Rfam says of the family: Transfer RNA (tRNA) molecules are approximately 80 nucleotides in length. Their secondary structure includes four short double-helical elements and three loops (D, anti-codon, and T loops). Lineage: Eukaryota; Metazoa; Chordata; Mammalia; Rodentia; Cricetidae. The record is from Rfam by way of RNAcentral.
GGAGAUAUGGCUCAGUGGGUAAGAGCACUGACUGCUCUUCCAGAGGACCUGGGUUCAAUUCCCAGCAUUCACA